CCUACACUUGACAUCCUCGGAACUUUCUAGAGAUAGAUUGGUGCCUUCGGGAACCGAGUGACAGGUGCUGCAUGGCUGUCGCCAGCUCGUGUCGUGAGACGUUGGGUUAAGUCCAGUAACGAGCGCAACCCCUAUUCUUAUUUGCCAGCACUUCGGGUGGGAACUAUAAGGAGACCGCCGUGUAUAACACGGAGGAAGGCGGGGACGACGUCAAGUCAUCAUGGCCCUUACGGGUUGGGCUACACACGUGCUACAAUGGGAGAUACAGAUGGUUGCGAAAGCGCGAGCUGGAGCUAAUCCCAAAAAGUCUUCCUCAGUCCGGAUUGGAGUCUGCAACUCGACUCCAUGAAGCAGGAAUCGCUAGUAAUCGUGAAUC
This 376-nucleotide ribosomal RNA is filed under the name uncultured bacterium. RNAcentral's name for it is "bacterial SSU rRNA". It matches the Rfam family "Bacterial small subunit ribosomal RNA", at positions 974 to 1350 of the family's 1533-position model. The record is from RNAcentral.